UAAAAGAUGUCUCUCUCCUCCCCAUAGAGGGCUAAUGUUCUUCUGGAUCACUAGCUCCUUCAUUUAUACUUCCUCUAUAAAUCGUAUCGUGACUCUCUCUCUCUCUCUCUCUCUCUCUCUAGAUUCCAUUAUAUCUCUACUUUGUCAACCGAAACAACAUUGGCGUCGACCUCUCCUUCCUUCAGCAAGGAGGAAAAAAGAUUCAACCGGCUGUGACGUUUCAAACAAAAAAGCUCCAUGAGUCCGUAUUCUGAUGAUCUUACAUCAAAAAGUGACAACGUGCUUGUGAAGGAGACCCUUUGCCUGCCACCAACCCUCACAUAGAGACCUUUUGCUUCAGGGAAGCUAGCUAGUGCUUUGACCAGGUCGUCGUGUCAAGCAAAAGACAUCAACACACAAGGAUCCGACUCCAUAUGACUUCUAUAGUCCACAACAAAAUGCUUACGAAUCUUCAAGUCGUGAUUGUGAAGGAUGAUUACUUUGAUCGGAUGAUGCCUUCGUUCUUCACUCGUUUUCUGUUAAUCAGCUCUAAACGAAGGUUUCAUUCAUUUACAUUAUGGCACGGCAAUGGAGACCACUGUUGUCUUGGUUUGAAGCUUAAGUUUCACCGGAGCUAUUUUCAGCGUUACUUAACUUAUUUCAUCUGCUUUACUCGUCGCCGUCGUUUCACCUUCACAUCUCCUCUCCGCCGCUCAUCUCUCAAUGGUUACGGGUUCGCCGGAUCUGCUCAUUUUAAGAAUGGGUUCACCGGAUCUUUGUAUGUAUGUAUAUACGAUAUGUGUACGUAUAUGUAUGUACAUGUGUUGUAUGUAUGUAUAUUCGUAGGAAUAUUCAUAUUGUGUAUAUAUGUGUAUGUAUAUGCUUAUAUAUUUCUCCCUAACCCUAAACCCUAACAAAAAGUUAACCCCAAAACUCCACCUAAGGGUUAAUAAACCCUAAACCCUAUCAUAGGGUUAAAUCCUACACCAUGUCCUUAGGUUACACCCUAAACCAUGUCCUAGGGUUACACCCUAAACCCUAACCUAGGGUUAAACCUUCAACCCUAGCCCUAGGGUCAAACCCUAAACCUUAGCCUAGGGUUAAACCCUAAACCCUAGCAUAGGGCUA
Long non-coding RNA from Brassica oleracea var. oleracea, 1107 nucleotides. RefSeq lists it as uncharacterized. The record is from RefSeq and is a predicted model, not a curated record. The transcript is spliced from 6 exons. NCBI's taxonomy places the organism in Eukaryota, Viridiplantae, Streptophyta, Magnoliopsida, Brassicales, Brassicaceae.